Molecule: non-coding RNA, 5029 nt
Organism: Macaca mulatta (Rhesus monkey)
Lineage: Eukaryota; Metazoa; Chordata; Mammalia; Primates; Cercopithecidae
Source: RefSeq, a predicted model, not a curated record
GAGCUGAGAUCGUGCGGCUGCACUCCAGCCUGGGCAACAGAGUGAGACUCUGUCUAAAAAAAAAAGUGUGUUCUUUAAAGUAGAAUAUUUGCUUUUUACAAUAUAGUUCUCAGAAUGAUCCAGUUCCAUUUAUUCUAGAAUGUGGUGCAAACUCGACGAGAUUGGAAGAAGCUCUUUUUGUUGGGCAGUGUAGUAACAAGAAAAGAAAAGAAAAAUACCAUGGGUAUAUUAUUUAGGGAACUUUUGCUUUAUCCAAAAGUAGUCACGAUUGCUGUAGCACAGGCUGUGAAAAAUGAGAGAGUGCAAAUCUCUCUCAUUUAAAUGUCCAGGGUGGCUUUAGUCUCCCAAGUACAAAGGCCAGAUGGCAGAGAACAGCUUAAACUGAGCCUUUAGCCUCAUUAAUAGGAGGAAGUCUUGGUACUUUUGGUGACUAAGAAACUGGAUUAUUUAAAACCUUAAUUAUCUCCUUUACUCCUGGUUUACAGAAGGCAAUGAAUAUACAACUCCUUUAGAUCCCUCUAACUGCUGCUGAAUUUUCUUUCUUUCUAAGCCUGCAUCCUAUCUCUUGAUUGCAUUGUCUGAAGAAGCUGUGUGAAAUUUGUCUGGUCAUUGGUUUUCUUGUCUGAUAGUGGUAUCUUGACCUCUUCACAUGUCACACUAAAUGCUGCUCAUAACCCAUCCUCGUCAUCUUUACUCAUCACUGCUUUCUUCAAGGGAGGUCUUGAAACUGCCUAACCUACCUCAUGAUCUGCUAGUCAAAAUAGUGACUCUUUGGAAGACUGGUAGUCUCUGAAUGAAUUAUCCAACGUCUGCUUCCCCACAUUAACUGCAUUGUAUAGUUUUGGGAACUUUGCAGGUGCUAAAUCUUCAUGGCCAUGAAGAUGAAACACCUUGAGAAAUGGGAACACCUCUUCACUGUGUACUUGGAUCAGCCUUCUUCAACUACCAAGAAAUGCAUGAUUUCUCUGCCAACUCCAGGAAGUAGUAUAGCACGAUUGAAUCCUUCAGUGAAUCUCUUCAUCGUAACAUAGGGUGUAAAAGCUCACAUCUACUCAAAAAACUCAAAUCUACUUUUUCAGUGGAUACGAGCUUACAUUGACUUAUGAAUGAUUUUCUUGUAGGCCCAACUGUGUCACGACCCUCCAGUUGAAACAAAGCAUGAGUUAUUUUUAUAUUGAGUCCUUGAACUGCUAGCCAGGUAGAUGUCUCCUUAAAGUCCAGAGCAGGAUCCAAGUCAGAUGAAGGAGGUGGCACACCUGGCUUAACUGCAGAUCAGGGAGCAUUGAACCUCUACAAUUUGCUGCAUUGGAUUUGUGCUUGGGUUUCUCACUGAAUAGUAAAUUAGAGAAAAUGCUGCUUUUACUAUUUUGCAUUUUAUAUCAACAUUAGCAGCCUGUUCCCACUCGGGUGCUGUCCAAGGCACAUGUUUCCUUGGGAUGUUUGGACAGAACGAUCUGGCUUGAUGUAUUUCUUGGGUUCUGGUACCACAUCAUAGAGUUGGUUAAAUGUAGCCAGCAGCAGUGUCAAGACAGCUGACACUGUCUUCCAAGAGUGAAUGUGUUGGCCUUUGGAACUGCUGCUAACGCCAUGUGUGGGGCAGUGAGCACAUUUUUAGGUGGUGGCAAGGCUGUAUCUGAUUGACACAGAUCUGCAAUCCCUAACACCAUAUUGCUGUUGUCCUGAAUUUUCUAACUUGGAGAAAUUUAAGGAUCUCCUGCAUUAUCUAGGCAGAGCAUAUGUUGAGGUUGUUUUGCCAGUUGUUAUCAGUGUUGAAGAAGUGCUCCUGCAAGCAAACUGUGUUAAAAGGAUUGCGACCCCAUAUGCAUCUGAUGUACACUGUGUUUUGGUGUUUGUGUUUUUAGAGUUCUAGCCAGUACUGCGCCUGAACUUCGGAGAGAAAGGAGCCUGUGGCUGAGGUUUGUGCGUGCUCUAUUUCUGUGUAUCAAAUGGACUAUAAGGUUACUGAAACUGGGCUAAGUGAAAGGGCAUAGACAACUCUUUACACUGUAGACAGAUUUUAGAAAGCUAUGGGAAGGCAAAUGGAUGUUUCUGCCUAAAUUUGGCAACCUAGAGAGUGAUGCAGAGCAGAGUCACUGAGGUUGGCAUGCCUGUCUUCUGCAGGCCAAUGCAAGUUUUAGGAGAGUGGGCUGCUUAAAACAUGGCGCUUGUCCACAUGAAUUUGAUGGUUUAUGGGUGGAUUUCAAGCUUAGGGACAAGUUGUGGUUUUUAGAUGCAGUAACCCUAUGCCACCUUUUGGCCACUGUUAAAAGUUUCACUUGGAUCCCUGCCCAGCCAUAGCAAUGAAUGACCGAAUUGGAUCAGUUAGUGUAGAAAUUCAGACUGUCUGUUCCUCAGUUACUGGAUUGUUCUUUAGCCAUUUUUCUUGUCAUUUCAGUCAAACUGGUUAGGUUAGGUGACUUACUGAUUUCUAAAUUAACAAAAUUGAAUUUCCAAAUUGUUUCUGACAUGGUGAGAGUUGGGUUAGAAUUUUGGUUUCAUUCUCCAAGUCAUUUUUUCUUUUUCUUUAUUUUUACUUUUUGAGACAGAGUCUCACUCUGUCGUCCAGGCUGGAGUGGAGUGGCACAGUAUUGUCUCACUGCAGCCUCAACCUCCCAGACUCAGGUGAUUCUCCCACCUCAACCUCCAAAGUAACUGGGACUACAGUCAUGUGCUACCAUGCCUGGCUAAUUUUUUGUAUAUCUGUAGAGGGGGAGUUUCACCAUGUUGCUUGAGCUGGUCUUGAACUCCUGGGCUCAAGUGAUCUAUGCGCCUUAGCCUCUCAAAGUGCUGAGAUUAUAGGCGUGAGCCACCGUGCCCAGCCUCAUUUUUUCUUCCAAUAUGGAAAAUUGGCUAAUCCACCUAAUACCGCUCAUCCUCUUGUAUUCUAUCCUACCUUCUACCCUCAGAGUUAUUGAUGUACUCUUUCAUCAUGUGCUAUCAUGAUUUCUGCUUAGAUUAGAAAGUAAGCUUAAAAUGGGCAGGCCCAUGUCUUCAUAUUGUUCUGAAUUAACAGAUUUUGAUGGCCGCUGAUCAUGUGCAGAUAAUGGAAGCUCAUUUCCUUCCAUGAACCAGGAGCAUGCUUGCCUCUUCUUUUAAGUUGACCUGCACAGUCUCUGAUGUCUUCUUUUUGGAAAGGGUAAUCAGAUAAGGAUUAUGUAAGGACACUUUCUUCUGGUCUAGUGUUAGAUACAGUUACCUUGAUAAUAAUGAAAAAAAUGAAUAUCACCAAAACCUAACUAUGAUGUAAGAAUUCUGCUUCUGUCCCCCAGGGGCUCUGAAAGAGUCUAGCCUUAAUCUUCUUUCCCAGAGGAAGUUUGACUUAUGACCAUAUUAGUAUGCUUUAUUCCUCAGUGUUUAAGGGAGUUGGGGCUGACAGGUUAGCUGGCUAAUGUCAUUACAUUUUAGUUUUUGUGACAUUUAAUCUGUUAAGAAGGGGGCUUAUUGCAUAAUCAAAAAAAGAACAAUAAAAAAAUAAAAAUUUCUACUGUGAAACUAUUUUGAUCUGUAGCAGCUAGUCAUGUUAAAACACUUUCUGUUUUGCUUAAUUCGUAACUAGGCAUAAUUAAAGUUAAAUGCUAAAUUUUAGGUAGCAGCUGAUAAAUGCUUCUAAGCUUUCCUGACAGAAUACUCCUACUACUUUGGUGAAUCAUGGAAAAUUCUUUCUCCUUUAUUUUUAAUUAUUUCUUUUGCAUCUGUUAUUGAUGUCAUCAACACGGAAGUUGGAAAGGUGACAAUGAUUGUUCUAGACUGCCUCUGUAUGCUUUUUCUCCUCUGAAAAUUAAAAAUACAUACUUAUACCUUGAGCCAGGUGGAAUUGCCAAAACAUGUUUCCCUCCGUGUCUUCAGUCUAGGUGAUCAGUCUGUAGAGUGCUAUAACUUAUUAGGCUUAGAGCAGCGGCCGGCAUCCAUGCUAUGGAAAACCUGGAGUCAGUACAAAUAAGGAGUAAGAAGAGGCCAGGGAUUGGCAAAUCAAAGAAGAGUUCUGCUCUGCCAGAGAUUAGCCUCCCAGUUUUAAAUAUAUUUUUAAUAUCCCCAUUUUAACAUAUCCCAUUUUCACCUUCAACCUAUACUUCCCGAAGCCCAAACUUUUAAAGAAUUUACCUCUAGACCUGGCCUUCAGCCUAAUAUGAUUAGGGUGUUUUUCUGAGUGUCUGUCAAAUUAUGCUGGCUAAUUUCAAUGAGAAAAGAUUUUAAGAGUCAUAGUGAACCCAUCCAUAAAAGGACUAAAAGCUCUCUGGUCCCUGAGAUCCACAAGCCCUGAGAGAAGCCAGAACUACAAAUACAUCGUCUAGACUUUGAAGAAGCAGGAUGUGAUUCUUAAUAUAGCUCACCCACCGCUAAGUCAAGCCUAGACUCUAAUAUUUUUCUAUAACAGGAGAAGCCUCCCUGACUGGAGACUAGAAAGAGUCUCACAUCUUCUGCCACCACAUGAAUAGACUAAAAAGAAGGGAGAGUCCCAGAUGGGGCCAAGUGGUGACCUGUAGCUAUUUCAGCUCAGAAUGUCAGCCUCUAAAGCAUCAGCAUCUCCUGAUUGUUUCAAAACCAAGGCCGAGAACUGUCGCAGGCAAGAACUUGUGUGCCGAACUCUGAAGGAGCCACCACCCGCAGCACCAGUGACCACCCACUAUCUCCAGUGCCUUCUGCCUCAGAGAUUGGGAAUGAAUGGUGCCCAGGCUCUUCCCAGCUGAAGAAGUGGGAGGCAGAGUGCCCAGCUGGAGAGAUCAAACACCCGUCCCUUCAGUUCACAGCAGAGCCAGGGUUUACGACCAGACCCCUCCCUGCUGCAACCAACCCCAUCCCGCCCCCACUGUCGUGUUUACAGCGCCUUUUCAGCAGUCCCCAUCCCACUCCCCAAAGCUGCCAAAUGGGUUUAUUUUUACCUACUGGGUUGGAAAAGGGGCAAAGGCUGAGGCUGGGGCAGUUCUGUGGCGCCAGCUGAGGCUUAAAUACAAUGAGAAAGUCCCACCCUGCCAGCUCUGCCUGAAGAGAACCCAGUAGGAAAUAAAUAGCGCUGUGUGCCCUGCCUGGA